UCCCAUGCUGUGACCCUCUAGAGGGAAGCGCUUUCUGUUGUCUGAAAGAAAAGAACGUGCAUCCCUUUAGAGGGUUACUCUUUGAGA
Molecule: non-coding RNA, 87 nt
Organism: Papio anubis (olive baboon)
Lineage: Eukaryota; Metazoa; Chordata; Mammalia; Primates; Cercopithecidae
Source: Rfam